UUCAUUUUAACAAAUUGAAGUCCAUUGAUAUCUGUUGGGGGAAAAAUGGACCACCCCAUAAAUAUAAUCUAAAUACCCGAAGGCCGAGACCAGAAGUCCGAGCUCAGAAGCUCAAAUUCAGAAGGUCGAGCUCAGAAGCCCGAGUGCAGAACGCCUCCCUCGAAGGCUGAGCUCAUGCAGACCGAGCUCAGAAGUCCGAGCUCAUGCAGGCCGAGCUCAUGUAGACUGAGCUCAUGCAGGCCGAGCCCAGAAGACUGAGCUCAUGCAGUCCGAGCUCAGAAGUCCGAGCUCAUGCAGACCGAGCUCAUGCAGACCGAGCUCAUGCAGACCGAGCUCAUGCAGGCCGAGGCCAGAAGGCCGAGCUCGUCGUCUACAUGCUGCAUUCACGCCCUG
Molecule: long non-coding RNA, 393 nt
Filed under: Phoenix dactylifera (date palm)
Lineage: Eukaryota; Viridiplantae; Streptophyta; Magnoliopsida; Arecales; Arecaceae
Description: long non-coding RNA (PDAC_LNC015092)
Source: RNAcentral